UAUGGCUAUAUCACAUUGAAACAUUGCCUCCCAUACAAUCACUGAAGUUCAGCAACACAGAGCCUGUUCAGUGCCUAGAUGGGUGACCACUUGGAAAUACCAGGUGCUGUAAG
This is a non-coding RNA of Acanthosepion pharaonis, 113 nucleotides long. The record is from the annotation of a GenBank genome assembly. Lineage: Eukaryota; Metazoa; Mollusca; Cephalopoda; Sepiida; Sepiidae.